This is a long non-coding RNA of Hibiscus syriacus, 516 nucleotides long. RefSeq lists it as uncharacterized. The record is from RefSeq and is a predicted model, not a curated record. NCBI's taxonomy places the organism in Eukaryota, Viridiplantae, Streptophyta, Magnoliopsida, Malvales, Malvaceae. The transcript has 3 exons.
CGAACUUGGGCUAAUUCCUAUCUUGUUGGACUGCAAACUCAGACUGUCCCACUCCAUCUUGACCCAGGUAUUUGAUAUGCUCCACAUCAGAAGGUAAAUACAUCGUUCCCUCUACUUUUAUUGUAAUCCCUAAAUUCCCAAUUUCAAUCCCCUCUCGUCCCUCGAUCCCCAAUUCUCCAUCAUCAAUCUCUAACCCUUGACCUCCUCUUCUCCCAAUUCCUUCGUCAUUUCCACGCUCUUCUCCACCUACUGUAACAAUACCCGUCGCUGGAAUCGAUCCUUGACCCCAAGGAUCAAAGCCUGGAAACUGCCCUCGCAUAACAGUAUAAUCUUCUCAUGUAUCAUUGGAUUCAUCAAGGUUCGUCCAUCAUACCAACAACUGCGUAACAAGAGGAGUCGUUGAAGAGACUGUUGAGGGCCCGAUGUGUUACUUCAAAAGACUUACAUGAAAGACUCGAUGUAAACGCAAUGAUUCAGGGCUAAGGAAGUUUGUCUAUAUGGUUGUAACUUCAGGUA